AGUGGGAUUGCUAGGUCAUGAUGUAAGGGUAUAUUUUAACUUUGUAAGAAAUUGUCAAACUGUUUUCCAAAGUGAUUUUGUUAUUUGGUAUUAUCAAAGCAAU
This 103-nucleotide microRNA precursor is filed under the name Marmota monax (woodchuck). Lineage: Eukaryota; Metazoa; Chordata; Mammalia; Rodentia; Sciuridae. The record is from RNAcentral.